RNAcentral lists this ribosomal RNA (497 nucleotides) under uncultured bacterium. RNAcentral's name for it is "partial 16S ribosomal RNA". It matches the Rfam family "Bacterial small subunit ribosomal RNA", at positions 28 to 507 of the family's 1533-position model. The record is from RNAcentral.
GAUGAACGCUGGCGGCGUGCCUAAUACAUGCAAGUCGAGCGAACCGCUGUGGAGCUUUUUCUUCUGACGUUAGCGGCUGAUGGGUGAGUAACACGUGGGUAAGUUACCUAUAAGAAUGGGAUCAUUUCGGGAAAGCGAAGCUAAUACCGGAUCAUCUAAUGACCCGUAAGGUUCAAUCAUGAAAGACGGCUUUGCUGACAACUAUGGUUGUAUAAGAGCCGCAUUAGUUAGUUGGGAAGGUAACGGAUUACCAAGGCAACCAAGCUAAGCCGACAUGAGCGGGUGAUCGGCCACACUAGAACUGAGACACGGUCCACACUCCGACGGGGGGCAGCAGUAGGGAAUCUUACGCAAUGGACGAAAGCCUGACGGUGCAACGCCGCGGGAGUGAUGAUGGUCUUCGGAUCGUAAAGCUCUGUUAUUAGGGAAGAACAAAUGUGUAAGUAACUAUGCACGUCUUGACGGUACCUAAUCAGAAAGCCACGGCUAACUACGUG